AGGCUUUAAUUGCCGAAACCGAGUGGCUAUAUGCGCUUCUGCCGGCUUCGGCCGGAUAUGGCGAUAAACUGCGGCGUAGACUAGGCGCAGCGGACCCGGGGGCAGUACCCGGCGGCUCCACCAGAACCAGCCUUCCAGGCCGGUCCUGACGGGGCCGAACCAGGAUCGACGUGUGUUGAAAGGCGCUGUUUUCGCUCGGAAUGGGACCACCGCAACGGCCCAUUACACAAGUGCCAACGAUAACGAAGCACUCGCUAUUGCGGCCUAACCCUACGGCUUAACGGCCCAAGGUUAGACUAAAAUGCGCGGUUGGACCGCACCGGGCAACAGAAGCGGAUUCCAGCGGUACGGGGAGCACCGGGCAACAGAAGCUCCCCACU
Molecule: transfer-messenger RNA, 380 nt
Filed under: Sphingomonas sp. ABOLF
Lineage: Bacteria; Pseudomonadati; Pseudomonadota; Alphaproteobacteria; Sphingomonadales; Sphingomonadaceae
Rfam family: Alphaproteobacteria transfer-messenger RNA (bases 1-341)
About the family: Bacterial tmRNA, also known as 10Sa RNA or SsrA, is named for its dual tRNA and mRNA-like properties. Its role is to liberate the mRNA from a stalled ribosome.
Source: RNAcentral